This 387-nucleotide ribosomal RNA is filed under the name uncultured bacterium. Its description in RNAcentral is "bacterial SSU rRNA". It matches the Rfam family "Bacterial small subunit ribosomal RNA", at positions 30 to 416 of the family's 1533-position model. The record is from RNAcentral.
AUUGAACGCUGGCGGCAUGCCUUACACAUGCAAGUCGAACGGCAGCACGGACUUCGGUCUGGUGGCGAGUGGCGAACGGGUGAGUAAUGUAUCGGAACGUACCUUUCAGUGGGGGAUAACGUAGCGAAAGUUACGCUAAUACCGCAUAUUCUGUGAGCAGGAAAGCAGGGGAUCGCAAGACCUUGCGCUGAUUGAGCGGCCGAUAUCAGAUUAGCUAGUUGGUGAGGUAAAGGCUCACCAAGGCGACGAUCUGUAGCGGGUCUGAGAGGAUGAUCCGCCACACUGGAACUGAGACACGGUCCAGACUCCUACGGGAGGCGGCAGUGGGGAAUUUUGGACAAUGGGGGGCAACCCUGAUCCAGCCAUGCCGCGUGAGUGAAGAAGGCC